GUUGAAGCCCAGCCAUGGAAGCUCUCUGAAGGUGAAGUGUUGGGCGUACAAGAUUAAGAAUAAAGAAAAAUUAGUUUCAAGAACAAGAACUAAACCAAGAAAGCUGUAUAUGGAGGUUUCUUAUGCAGCUUUCUUGGUUGGAGGGAUAGUGGUUUGCUACUCUACGUUUAUAUAGAGAAGGGAAGAGACGGCUUUUAUGAC
RNAcentral lists this unclassified non-coding RNA (201 nucleotides) under Hevea brasiliensis (rubber tree). The record is from RNAcentral. Lineage: Eukaryota; Viridiplantae; Streptophyta; Magnoliopsida; Malpighiales; Euphorbiaceae.